CCUCUUUUAUAUUUUUUGCUUAGGGUCUCGCUAAGUUGCUAAGGCUAGCUUUGAACUUACAGUCCUCUUGCCUCUGCCUCCUGACCAUCCUCUGUAUUCUUCACCUCAGAUUCUGUAGUUUUCAUCUCUGUAAGUCUCGCGUCUUUAAAGAGCUGUUUUCCACGUUGCCCACCUUUGUAAAUGUGUGACACAGUUCUGAGCUGUUCAGCAAUGUCUCGUGUAACUCUAGCUGGGAUGUCCUUCUCUGUUGGACUUGCUCAGUCUCCUCAAAGGGCUUGUGUUCCUCUGCUUCUUCGUUGCUUGGUGAUCCUUGGUGACCAGAAGUGGUGCACUUCGCUUGGGCGUCAGACACUCCGUAUUCCUGUGAGUCUCUUGAAGGCUGUUCUGGGCCCAGUGGGCACCAUCAUGGAAGUGGUUUGAUCCUUUCAGUUCUUCCUGUAGGACUUGUCCAAGGGCCUCAGGGAUACCGAGGGCACAUGCACCCCACCUCACAGUGCCCCCCAGAAGGGAAACCCAGGCCUGCGGCAGAGCUGCAGCCCAGGAAGCCCAGACAUGGUGCCAGGGCUGCCCCCGUGAACACGGCCCUGAGAACAGGGCACGUGGCAGGAGCAGGCACGGAGGGCGUGUGAGCCUUGGCCCUCAGCCCCCACUCUCAGACGCAGCGAGUGGAUGAGUGAGGGGCCAUGGAGAGGCUGGGUGAGAGCGGGCGGGUCCUCUAGUGUGGGCCUGUCCCUGCGUCUCUGCUGGCUGGCUUCUCCCCUAGCUGGGCGUGCACGAGGGCACGGCCUGAUACCCAGGGCCCUGGACGGAUGAGCCCCUGGACUUUGAAGGACCGUGGUGUGGUGGAUACUGCCUCCUCUGUGACUUCCCCGCCUCUCCCAGAAGCACCUGGAUGGGCCCUGCCAGGGAACCAGGGGAGGGAGCACAGGAUCUGCAGGGCGGCUGUGCUGGAGCUGCCCAGUCUCCCACACUCCCUGGGCUCUCUGACCCCUGAGAGGGCCUGGGAUCCUGUGUGGACCCUGAGGUCAGAGCCCGCAGGACUGCGCCCCAGAGCUUGGGGCAGGGCCAAGCAGAACAACCCCAGGCAGUCUUCCUCGUGGACCUGUGUGAGCACCGGAGGACGCCAGUCAGCCCCUCCAGGUGGGAUCUGUCAUGCACCGAGGUCAGAGCAGGGCCCUUGGUGGGCAUCCAGAUGGGACAGGGCGUGCAGCAGGGGCUCACGCACCUGAGCCGGGCUCAAGCCACCAGCCCUGCAGGGAACAGCAGGAGCAGGACUGAAGUCCAUUGGCAUGGAAUGAUUUCCACACACAUAUCAGCCUUCAGGGAAAGUCACUCCCAGCAGCAAUGACAGAACAGAUUUAGAACGCAGUGGGGCAGCCAGGACAGUGGCUGGAGGGACCAUCGACGUCACAAGCACAGCUGGGACAACAGGGUCCUGGUGUGGGCUUCCUCGUGACAGCCUCAGAGCCUCCCGAGUUGCUGAGGUUACAGGCGUGCACCACUGGGCAUGGCAAACUUCUCUUCUUUACAACUGAAAGAGCUAGACUCUGAAUGACAGUUGAAAGCAGUGUGGGAAACACUUAGCCAGCAACGGGUGCCCAGCGUCCUCUCCAUGGCCCUGUGUGCCUCUCAGCACUGGCCUGAGUGGCGAGCGUUCGCACCACACCUGGAGCUGCUGCCAUGGCCGUGACGUCACGGGAUGCUGUGGGUUUUGCACACGCCAUCCACCACUGUCCAAGAUGUCGUCCUGUGGCUUAUGACUGCCCUGGUGAGUUGCGCCUUGGGGGCCUGCUCUGUGCUGGACCUGUUCCUGGGCUGGCGGAAGUGAGUGGUGCCCCGCCCCCCAGUCUGCCUUGCUGGGCAGGAGGGAGCAUGCUGGGCAGGCUGGGGACCCCUGGCUCCCUACGCAGGGGCAGGCAGCACAGGUCCCUGGGGUGACCAGGAGGAUGACUUGAGCCCCCAGCCAGCAUGAAAUGGGUGGUGUCCACGCCUCUCUGUCCCUCUCUUGUCUCUAGCUGGGGUCAGACACCGGUCUGCAGGGCCCUGUGUCCCUUAAGUUCCUCCCAGCCUCUGUCUAGACCCAGCUGCUGAUCAGGGUUGGGUGCCCUGAGUCCAGGAAUCCAGGGGGCAGGAGAGACGCCGUCUGGGUGUGGGGCCGAGCACAUUCUGCGGCCGGCUGGUGCGGCAACUGGGGUACAGAUCAGGCCUCUGCCUUGGAGCCUGGGGUGCGCUUGCCUGCAUCAUGGGCAGCUCCCAGGGAGGGCCAGGAACAGGGGCAGCUGUUACUGUGGGGUCAGAGGUCCUGGGUGUGGCCGUCAGCGUCAUCAGUGACCUUCUGGGGGAGUCAGCGGGGAGGAGGGCACAGGGCUGCAGGGUGGGAGUCAGAGUCCUGCCUGGAGAGAGGAGGAAGCCCUGCAGGUGGAGGCGGUGAGGGCCGCACAGCCGGUGGAGCGCCUGGGGCCCUGGACCAGCAUGGAGACAGCAGUGGGGGCAGGUUUCAUGUCAAGUAUAUUUUGCCACAAUAAAAAAAUGUUAAGUUCAUUUUCCUCUUGAUCUACUUUUAGACUGCCAUGUAGCGACUGGCCCUGACCGGAAUGUUCCCUUUGUGCAGGUGGAAAAGCCUAUCAGGUUUAAGCAAAGGGAAAGUUGUUCAUGCUGUCCAGCUCUCGGGAGCUCCUUAAUGUCUUUGAAACGCUCUUGUUCAUUGUGUUUGGAAGUGGAGGUCAGGCACCAGGACUGCCUGGUCCACGGGCCUUGCCAGGUUCCCUUUGGCAACGAAGACCCUGUCUCGCCUGUCUCCCCGGGUGAGUCCGGGGCAGGUGGCCAUGGUCCACUAGCGCCCUUGGCCCUUUAUGCGUGGUCUGCGGCUGCUUCUGAAGGCAGGGUGAGCAGUCACCUCCACCCUCUGCAGGGAAGGUCUGCACCCGGAUCUCCACAGCCCAGACACCACAGAGCCCCAUG
Sciurus carolinensis (gray squirrel) is the source of this 2961-nucleotide long non-coding RNA. RefSeq lists it as uncharacterized. NCBI's taxonomy places the organism in Eukaryota, Metazoa, Chordata, Mammalia, Rodentia, Sciuridae. The record is from RefSeq and is a predicted model, not a curated record. The transcript has 5 exons.